UUAACUUGAAUAAAUCCUUUAUAUUUCCCUGAGCGAGGAGAGAAACCCGUUAGUUGACGGGACGAGGAUGGUCACUAUGACGUCACUCUGGGGUCAGAUGAAUGUGUCACAGAGAGAGAAAACCCAGUCAUCAGGAGGAGGGUUAGGGUUAGAGGAGAAAAGGAGAAGAGGAGGAUCAUAAGAGAGGAAGAUGAGGGUUAGAGGAGAUGAAGGGGAGAAAAAGAGAACGGGCCCAGCAGGUGGACAGUCAGUAAUCCCGUCACCCGCUGGCUGCAUCGUGAUGGAUCUGAGCCCACGUACAGUCGAAAUGAACCAACAUCACAUGGAGCUUCCUGGAAGUUUGUGAGAAGCUACACCUGGCCUGACUCUGUGUCUACCUGUGACACCUUUCUGGAGAGGGGAAUCGGCUGAGCUGCUGCUCUUCAGAGAAGCCAAAUCUGGCCCGGUCUGUUUAACUGUGUUUCUCUGCCAAUUUUCUCAAAUUUCUUUUUUAACGUAGAAAGUAGUUGUGGGCUUUUGUGCAUUUUGUGUCUUCUCAAACAUACAUUCAGGCUCUGCUUCUGCUGGAGGUUUACUUCCUAGUUGAAGGAAGGAAGUCCUCUCCAAUGUUGCUUCUUCAGGUGGAGUAAAUCUGUUUACCAACUGGCAACUUGACUGCAUUGUUUUAUAAGUACACAUGAACUGAUUGUAUGUAAAUAACUUCAAACCUUUCUAUAUGAUUUGAUUGAACUCACUAUACGUAUAAGUAUAAGUAAAUAAGCUGAAUUGAACUGGAAAUUGAAUUUAAUUGCUUAACGUUUUUUUUCUACAGGUAGCAAAUGUCUAGUUAAGGUUCUGCUUUGUAGAAGUAAAGUUGUCUAGAAAUAAAAAGUUAUAUGAGGAGUCCAGGAGUUUUGUUGCAGCUGUGACCGUUCAGAGUUUAAAGGGACAGCUCAGUUUAAGGUCACGAUCAGUUUGUCACUGUUAGGAGAUGGUGCUCUGAGCAUGCUCAGAAACACUGUGCGUUUCUGUGACGGUGUGAUCCUCGUGAUAGGCAGCGUGCAGAGUGUCUGACUGAGCUGCAUGAAUAAACUCAGUUGUUCUGCUAAAUGUGACCUCAGCCUGCUUCUUCUCUUCUCUUCUUAUCUGUUUGGGAUCUUUCUGUGUGAAACAAAAACACCAUCAUCCUGUUUUGUGAUUGGUUUAUCUGUUAACCUACAGCUGAACUUCAGUAAAUCCAGAAUGAAAACAUGUUAACGCGAGCACGCUCACCUGAAAACAGAACAUUUGACUACUAUGAGAACCUGGUUCCUGCCUAGGGGGUUAUGGUUCUCUUUGGUGGAGCACAGUAUGUGCCUGUUCACUCUGUGCAGAGGGACACUGCAGGUUGAGAACCUGUACACUGACUCUCAGAUCUUAAAUUUCAGCAUAAAUUAUUGUCAGUGGGCUUUUAGAUAAACAGCUGAGGAUGAUCUCCAACACCUGCCUCAGCUUCACCUGCA
This is a long non-coding RNA of Girardinichthys multiradiatus, 1481 nucleotides long. RefSeq lists it as uncharacterized. The record is from RefSeq and is a predicted model, not a curated record. The transcript is spliced from 3 exons. NCBI's taxonomy places the organism in Eukaryota, Metazoa, Chordata, Actinopteri, Cyprinodontiformes, Goodeidae.